This 308-nucleotide unclassified non-coding RNA is filed under the name Hevea brasiliensis (rubber tree). The record is from RNAcentral. Lineage: Eukaryota; Viridiplantae; Streptophyta; Magnoliopsida; Malpighiales; Euphorbiaceae.
UUUGUCCAGAAGCUAUUCUUAGAUAUUUUACAAUAAGAAAAGGAUUCCUCCAAAUUCUUAACUGCAGCACAUGAGAACAGUAAAUUAUAGCAGCACAUGUGACAUUUCAGCAUGUAACCUUUACUGCCCCAAUUUCAUCAAUCUUUUAGCUCGUGUGCUUGUUUCUCUUGUGUUUGUUAACAUCAUUAAGAUCCUCCUUGCCCUCAUGCUUUUUUCUCUUUUCAUGAUGUUUCUUUGAAAGGUCAGCACCAGAAUCAUGACGGCCAGUUUUAUCUUUCUUUUUCUCUUUAUCCUUGUCUUUACUUCGA